Molecule: long non-coding RNA, 396 nt
Organism: Saccostrea echinata
Lineage: Eukaryota; Metazoa; Mollusca; Bivalvia; Ostreida; Ostreidae
Exons: 3
Source: RefSeq, a predicted model, not a curated record
CGUAUGACUGGUUUGGUGCACAAGAGCUUUGCCGAAAUUCAAGCAAACGUUUAAUUACUGAUGCAUCGGAUUCAUUAAACUUUAUCUGGACCGGAAAACACAAAAGAUUUUCUCAAUGGAUAAAAAUAUUAGGGUGCUACAAAGAGUCCAAUGUACCUGGAAAUUCUUUUUUCAACAUGACCGAUUACCCAUCAAUAGGAUUAUGCCAAGAACAUUGUUUAAGACUACACAAUAGUGUUUACGCUGUAAAGGCCAGUGAAUGUCGAUGUCUCCAGAAUGAUUUUAAAGCUAUUCCACUCCCGCUGAAUGAAUGCAAUAUAGCUUGUUCAAAUAAAGAGGAUGAUAUUUUGUCUACUGAAUGUGGAGGAGAAAAAGCUUUUAGUGUGUUUUCAACUG